UCAAGGCCAAUUAUUUUGUUUGCUGUAUUUGAGUUGUUACGAUACAAUUUUGCUUUGUUAUAAAUUAAACAAUUUAUUUAUACUUUUAAUAAUCGGUUAGUUUAUUCAUUUCCACAUGCGAAUUUAUGUAUAUUUAAAACCUUUCUAACCCGCCUAUGACACCGACUAGGUCGGUAAAUAGGUUGUGUUCCUUUUUUUCUCACACCCAAGGACAUAAGGAUAAGGACGGAAAUUUUGGCGAAAAGAUAUUUUUCGAUCGUGAAUUGCUGAAUGAACUGAUUGCAUGGUUGAAUUAUUUCGCUCGUUAACUACCUAGAAGGGAUUUUCGAAUUUUCAGCCAACUGUGGUUCCUUUUUGAUAUUGUGAAGUUUGGAGUAUUUUGGGACAAUAUUGGAAACCACCGCUGCAAAAGCAGGAUUUUUAUAAAAAGGGCAAAUAGUCAGUAUUUUCUCUCAAUUCUCAGAGGACGAUCUUUGUCUGUUUUGUGUUGGAAACACCCUCGAUUAUUAGGAGGGUGUUAGAAUAUUCCUAAGAAAGGCGUAUUUGCAUCAGCUUGAAUUUGGGAAAUUGAAAUCGAUUGCCAGAUCAGUCUCUUGAAGAAGUUUCCUGAUCGUUACCUUUACUAAUAAUUACCACUGGGAAUAUUAACAGAUUCCUACUACAUCCGUAUCCACCGAUACUGCCGGAUCAGUAUUCAUUCCCUGGCAGCUUACGAAAAAGGAGCACCCGAAAAGCAGCUAAGUUUAGACUAAGUUAUUUGAAUAAAGAACCCGGUGUUUAUUUAUUUCCUAUAAUAAAAUGUACAAGUUACCUCAUUGAGAGGAGUGGUGUAAGCUUUUACGUGACGUCACAUAUUAGCACAUAUUAGCGAAUGUAUUAUGAUAGUGGUAAUCUAGCAAUUGAAGUGAGUAAUCGGCAAACAGAAGGGUCACUGUAUUUCUUCUUUUUAUUAUUGUAAUAAACUUCCUUAGUCAUUGCAAA
This is a long non-coding RNA of Leptinotarsa decemlineata (Colorado potato beetle), 981 nucleotides long. The record is from RefSeq and is a predicted model, not a curated record. Lineage: Eukaryota; Metazoa; Arthropoda; Insecta; Coleoptera; Chrysomelidae.